GCAUUAGCACCAUUUCCACUAAUGAAAAAAAGAAAAAAAAAAAAAGGGAAAAAGAAAAUCACUUGGUUUUCCCUCCACCAGAACCAGAAACAGAAACCAAGAAUCACAUGAAGGAGCCAACCACUCUUUCCCAAUGCUGCUGUUCCAUUUCUUUCUUCCCGCUUCUCCUGCAACCCAUUACCUCUCUCCUUUCCCUUCUCCACCUCCCUCUCCUGCUCUUCUUCGUCUCCCUUAUCCCCAUCCCUUCUCCUCUCUCCAUCGAUCUCCUCCCUUGCGUUCUUCUACCUCCCUGCUGAAGUGCCUCUGCUUUCAAUCGCUUUCUUCUUGUUUUGAUGAGGAGCUGGAUCGCCUCCUGGUGCUCCUCCCGGACGAGAUGCGCCGGAAGGUUGACGACCACCCGGAACUCAGCCUCCUUAUCGAGAUUGUCAUGGACCUUGGACGUAGGCCACUCGCUCGCUUCCCUUCUGGAGAUUUCAUCCUCUCCGAUCGCCCCAUCACUCCCCAAGAUCUUCACCAUGCUACCUCCCAGGUUGGUGACUUCUCCAAGGACAAUCGUGCGGGAAUCAGCCGGACCUUGCAUCGGAUUAGUGCUAUUAGGAAUCGGAAGGGUGUAAUUAUUGGUCUCACUUGCCGGGUUGGCCGGGCGGUGACUGGAAGUGCCAAUUUGCUUAGAGAUUUGGUUAAGGAUGGUGGCUCACUGUUGCUCAUUGGUCCUCCAGGAGUAGGAAAGACGACGAUUAUUAGAGAGAUAGCCCGGAUGCUAGCAGAUGAUUAUAGAAAGCGUGUUCUGAUUGUUGAUACCUCAAAUGAGAUAGGUGGAGAUGGUGAUAUUCCUCACUCUGGAAUAGGCAAUGCUCGAAGAUUGCAAGUACCCAAUUCUGACAUGCAGCAUAUGGUACUGAUUGAAGCAGUAGAAAAUCACAUGCCACAAGUAAUUGUAAUCGAUGAAAUUGGUACAAGACUUGAGGCAAUGGCUGCUAGUACUAUUGCCCAACGUGGUCUCCAGCUUGUUGCAACUGCUCAUGGAGUAACUAUUGAGAAUUUGAUCAUGAAUCCUUCUUUAGAGAUGCUUGUUGGUGGUAUACAGAGUGUUACUCUUGGAGAUGAAGAGGCUAGUAGGAGGGGUGUUCAGAAGACUAUCCUAGAGCGCAAAGGUCCUUCAACAUUUACUUGUGGUGCAGAGAUAAUUUCUAAGACUGAAAUACGAGUUCAUCGUAGUUUGGAGUCCACAGUGGAUGCUCUGCUUGCAGGCAGAUCCCCUAAUUUUGAAGUACGAAAAAUAAACCCAGAUGGGUCUAAACAGGAAAUGCUUGCCAAUCAAAUUGAGAGUGAUAAUACCCCUCAAAAGGAAACUAAAAUUUCAGUUGAUAAUAUGUUGAAAUAUAGUGAAGAAAAGAACAGUGACGGUGUAUUGGAGUCAAAACCGGAAGAAGCGGAGGGAUCUCAUCCUACUGGCAUGGAUAUUUGCCUGUAUAUCUAUGGGAUAUCGGAGACGAUCGUUUUGCAAGCUAUCAAUCAGCUGGGAAUGGAUGAAAUGAUUCAACUAACUGAUAACAUAAGUGAAGCUGAUGCUUUUCUUGCUCUGCAUGCUAAGAUGAAGAAGAAUUCUCAACUUCAAGCAGCUGCCAAAUCUCAUGGCAUUCCAAUCUACGUGACAAAGAUGAGUUCCUUGGUACAAGUCACAAAAGCCAUCAGUGCUCUGACAAGUGAACUUACCAGUGGACAGAAAGAUCUUAAAGCCGAAGAAAACAUGAGUUCAUCAGAGAAGGCUGAUGCUUUAGAGGAGGUUAGGUGGGCUGUUGAACAUGUUGUUAUUCCAAGAGGUGAGAGUGUCCAGUUACUACCAAGGCCCUCCCAGAUCAUUUCUGUUCAGAUAGAUCUUAUUGAGAAUUACAAGCUUAAGUGGGAGAAGUCCGGCUACCUCUACUACCUGACUACCCAUGAUGCAUCAACUGCAGCGACAAGUUUUCCUUUGCUGCCUCCCAUUUUUAGCCAAUGUCAAGAAUGAAACAUGGUGUUUGAAGCAUCAUCCUUGUCCACAAGAGAGGGGGGAGAAUUUCCUGCAGCUUUCUUAAUCUAGGAAUCCAGAGAGGCUGACAGGUAUAAAAGGGUUAUACGUUUGGGAUUUAAAAAUGGCGGCAAACAAAUUAGGGUUGAAUUGAGUGGGAAGCAUCAGAAACCAUGACUGGUUUCCAUGCCUUGGCAGGAGGCAGCCGAAAUUACAGGUUAGUUACGUAGAGAACUGGCCAACCUAAUAUUGUCCACUAUCUAAGAUAAUACCAGUAAAAGAAUUAAUAAAUAAAAGGGACAAACUUAGUUCAUUUUGAUAAUGUAUGCUCAAAUCAUCAAUAUUUGUCAAGUCAACAAUGGAAUGGAUGUUUGGGAAAAGUUUAUUUUAUUUCACCUUUUUUUAAUGUGCCUACAAAAUCUUGGCUGGGUUCACAAGGAGAUGGGAGCAAAAAUACUUUGAAAAAAAAAAUGAUUUAAUGAUGUUAUAGACAUUUAGAUAUUAUUGGUAGUUGAUGAAUAUAAAAAAUAUUUUUGGCCGUUCUGUUUUUAUUCUAGUGCUCAUCUUGUUAG
RNA transcript from Dioscorea cayenensis subsp. rotundata (Guinea yam), 2580 nucleotides. It is a transcript of the gene named protein SEEDLING PLASTID DEVELOPMENT 1-like, with no coding region annotated. The record is from RefSeq and is a predicted model, not a curated record. NCBI's taxonomy places the organism in Eukaryota, Viridiplantae, Streptophyta, Magnoliopsida, Dioscoreales, Dioscoreaceae. The transcript has 11 exons.